AGGGAAAGGGAAGAAUCAUAACAAAAGAGUAAAAGGGGGUUUGAUUUAGAAGACAGAACAACUUGGCACACAGAUAAGAACACAAAAAAGAGAGAAGAAAAGAAAAGGCUUGAGGUUGAAGAUAGAGGGAACAGAGGAACUAAAACCGGUCCACAACCAACAGCAGCACGUUAUCAACAACCUUAAACACCAAGCAUCUUUUCAGGAAUAAACUUCAAAUCGUGAGAGGGGAAAAAAAAAUAAAGCAAAGAAAAGGAAAAGGGUGGAAGAAAGUUAAAACUCCAGAAACAAAGAAAAAAAAACCACUCAAAUCCCACAAACUUUGAGAAAUGCUAAAAGAAAAAAGGAGCUAAAACAGGACAGAGAACGAAAAUAACACUUUCCCAGUUUUGCUUCCACUCCUCUCUCU
This 409-nucleotide long non-coding RNA is filed under the name Cucumis sativus (cucumber). Its description in RNAcentral is "long non-coding RNA (CSAT_LNC002160)". The record is from RNAcentral. Lineage: Eukaryota; Viridiplantae; Streptophyta; Magnoliopsida; Cucurbitales; Cucurbitaceae.